Molecule: long non-coding RNA, 442 nt
Filed under: Gossypium barbadense (sea-island cotton)
Lineage: Eukaryota; Viridiplantae; Streptophyta; Magnoliopsida; Malvales; Malvaceae
Description: long non-coding RNA (GBAR_LNC009608)
Source: RNAcentral
UUCAAUUCGAUUAAUAAUUAAUUCAUUUGUUACCUUACAAUUAUAAUGCAAGUAUAACAUAGGUAUGAUUUUAUUUAAUUGAACAACUUACCAAAGCCAAAAAUAAUACAAACAUGAUUUUAAUAAUCUAAGCGAACAAAAUGAAAUCAAUCUAACACAAAUUAGAUUUAAGUCAUUUUAAUUAAAUCAAGAACAACAAAAUAAAAAAUAUUCAUGUUCAUAACCUUAACAUAAACAAGAAAAAGUAAAGAGAAGAGAACUAGGAAACAGAUCCCAGUGUUUUUCCCAAGCUAGAUUAGUACGCUCCUAUUUUUUUCCGCUUGUUCUGUCAAUUCAAGGCCUUCACAAACACUUGAAUGUUGCUAUUCCAAGAUGGAUGCAAGCCCUUCUUCAAGAGUAGAAAUCGGUAAUGGAAGAGGACAAAGGAAAUGGAAGAGAGAAA